UACGGAGGGAGCUAGCGCUGUUCGGAAUUACUGGGCGUAAAGCGCGUGUAGGCGGCCCUGCAAGUCGGAUGUGAAAUCCCACGGCUCAACCGUGGAAGUGCAUUCGAAACUGCAGGGCUAGAGUCCUGGAGAGGAAGGUGGAAUGCUUGGUGUAGAGGUGAAAUUCGUAGAUAUCAAGCGGAACACCGGUGGCGAAGGCGGCUCUCUGGACCGAUACUGACGCUGAGGCGCGAAAGCGUGGGGAGCAAACAGG
RNAcentral lists this ribosomal RNA (253 nucleotides) under uncultured bacterium. RNAcentral describes it as "partial 16S ribosomal RNA". It matches the Rfam family "Bacterial small subunit ribosomal RNA", at positions 524 to 776 of the family's 1533-position model. The record is from RNAcentral.